GACAGUGUUUGCAACAUAUAAUCCUUCUGCUACCCGUGUACAAACAAUCAUAGGAGGACAGCGAGGACUACACUAAGGACGUCGUUCCGUGGACCGCAGUAGCUGUAGCAGCCUGUUCGCAUCUGAGGAGCUGUCCGACCGACCUCAGGGCGUGACCUGGAUUGGCUGGACUUUACCCCUUACGUCGACCAAACACCUACUUCGUCCAAGUCAGUCGUCUGAUGUUGAGUUGGGGUUUAAAACUAAUUUAGAGACGUCCCUGUUUUGAAAUUCUAGACAAGUUCCAUCAUGCCUGCAAAAGAUGUCUCAAAGGACCAACAUUUUUGCGACGAGGUAAAUUCUGAAGAGAUUGAUAAAAUGCAAAACGGCUCGAAGUUCCUUGUCCAUGACUAUAACGGAGAUGACGAUCGACUACGCCAAGUUGAUAUGAUAAAUCGAAAACUUCUGAAAUGGACAGGCGAGAAAAUAAAUGGUGAAUUCGUUAUGCACAGAAGAAACCUUAGACUGCGUAUUAAACUCCAUGAUUUAGAAAAUUGUACAAAUGAGAAUGUUAGUUACAUUGAAAUAUCAACGAAUGACCAGGAAAACAGUAUAGAAUGUUGUCUUGCGGAGGAUGGGAAUCCAGCCUGGGUAAACACUAAGACGUGUUCGUCAUUACUGCUGUGGAACAUCCUGAAAAGGAUUCUGACUUAUCUAAGGUCGGCAAUCGAAUUGGCAAAUCUUGUCUCCACGCUGCUGUCCUUUACUAUAUUUCAAAACUUACGCAAUUGGUUCUCACAACGGCAUUAGAAUGGUUAUAAAAGAAAACAGGGUACAAAAAGUCUGACAGUAAAAAUAAUGAAUGACCAAUGGAAUAGAUUUUCAACUUUCAGUUCUUAUUUAACUUUAACAGAGAUAAACCAUUGGUAUGGUACAACCACCUCUGGAACUUCGUCGUACUUGUGCUCUCUUUACUGUAGAGAAACAAUACAAUACUCUGUCAUCAACUUUUAUAACCGCACCCACUAAUGUCACGGGUUUUUUUCAGUGGAUGCAGAAUAAGUGCAGAUUCAUCCACUUUGUUAACAUUAACCCUUAAGCUGAAGGGUAUAUAUCUCCGGGGAGUACUAAUAUUUGUUGGUUUAAGCGUAUGUCUAGCAAUUUUCACGUGAUUGAAAGACCAAGAAGCGAAUGGAGCUCGUUUUCUUCAGCAGUUGUAAAACAUUGUUGACUGGUGUAUGUUUUGAGUUAUUUUGUUAUAUUUAGGCAAAACAUGCUUUCAAUUUGUAUCCCUGUUAGUCCAUCCACAGGGAAAUGUUUUCGCUUCUCUCAUUAUUUAUAUAAUGUCACUUAUUUUUGCGUUUUUAUCGCAGUCAAACGUUUUCUUAACUUCAUUUGAGGUAGUAACAACGAAGAUCAUUCAUAUAUUUGGAAGGGGGAGAGGUUUGUAGAUAUUACAUAUACCACCUUGAACUCAAAUCUCCUAUUAUACCGUUUAAAUUCAUCUAUCUGCAAAUCAUUUUUACGUAAAUCAAAAGUGUUAAUAUUCUCAUUUUUACAAUACAAUUCAGGUGUAAUCUUAUUUUAACCUAGUUGAACUAAAACAUCAAAUGAAGGAAAAGACGUCUCAUUACACUUCAUCGUAUAACCAAUUGAAGAAUGUAAAGAAUUAAACAAGUUAACAUAGUUCAAUUUGUUAUUUUCGACACCUGCUGAACUUUUUACAUCCUUCAAUUUGUAAAAGAAGACCUGGUGAACAUUUUCAUAUGCAGACUAAACAAGUUGUAAUAAAGACAAUGAAAAUAAUCACCAGUCGAUAGCGAUGUUAAAUAGAUUUGCCUUGUUGAUUAUUUUUUAGUCUGCAUAUAUAUAUAUAAUUUCCGUUAUUGUCCAGAUAGACUAUUGCUAUUUUUAUCAUUUUUUGUGUAAAAUAAUUAUAACUACCGUGUCAUUACUAAAUAAAUGAUUCUAUGGUUUGAAUA
Molecule: long non-coding RNA, 1961 nt
Organism: Mizuhopecten yessoensis (Yesso scallop)
Lineage: Eukaryota; Metazoa; Mollusca; Bivalvia; Pectinida; Pectinidae
Exons: 3
Source: RefSeq, a predicted model, not a curated record